Molecule: ribosomal RNA, 2889 nt
Filed under: human gut metagenome
Description: bacterial LSU rRNA
Rfam family: Bacterial large subunit ribosomal RNA
Source: RNAcentral
AGAGCUAAUGGGGAAUGCCUUGGUACUGACAGCCGAUGAAGGACGUGUAAAGCUGCGAUAAGCUGCGGGGAACUGCUAAAAGGUCUUGAUCCGCAGAAAUCCGAAUGGGGAAACCCUAUCAAGUUAAAACUUGAUAACUCACAAGUGAAUACAUAGCUUGUGUAGAGGAAAGCCUGUGAACUGAAACAUCUUAGUAACAGGACGAAGAGAAAAUAACCAAAUGAUUCCGAGAGUAGCGGCGAGCGAAAUUGGAAGAGCCUAAAUUGUGUGUACGUGAUAGCCUGCAAGCGUUGUGCACAUGAGGUUGUGGGACUUGCAUCAUAUUUUGCAGAAUAUGGAUUGAGUUAGAAAAUUAUUUAUUAGUUAAAGUCAACUGGGAAGUUGCGCCAUAGAGAGUGAUAGCCUCGUAAACGACAAUAAAUAAUCUCAAGUAAGUAUCCCGAGUAAGGCGGGGCACGUGAAACCCUGUCUGAAUCCACCGGGACCAUCCGGUAAGGCUAAAUACUAGUCAGUGACCGAUAGUGAACGAGUACAGUGAUGGAAAGGCGAAAAGAACAGUGAGAAGCUGAGUGAAAUAGACCCUGAAACCGUUAGCUUACAAUCAGUCAGAGCACUAUGAAUAGUGUGAUGGCGUGCCUGUUGAAGAAUGAGCCGGCGAGUUAAUUUAUGUUGCGAGGUUAAGGAGUUGAUAUCCGGAGCCACAGCGAAAGCGAGUGUGAAAAGCGCGUUAAGUAACAUGAAUUAGACCCGAACCUUGGCGAUCUAACCUUGACCAGGAUGAAGCGUAGGUAACACUACGUGGAGGUCCGAACCAACCGAUGUUGAAAAAUCGGUGGAUGAGUUGAGGUUAGGGGUGAAAUGCCAAUCGAACCAAGAGCUAGCUGGUUCUCCCCGAAAUGCGUUUAGGCACAGCGUUGGAAUUAUCUUACCGGAGGUAGAGCACUAGUCUGGUGCGGGCGGCGAAAUGCCGUACCAAAUCAUGUUAAACUCCGAAUACCGGUAACGUCAUUAUCCAGCAGUGAGGCAGCGAGUGCUAAGAUCCGUUGCCAAGAGGGAAACAGCCCAGAACGCCAGUUAAGGUCCCAAAUAUAUGCUAAGUGGUUAAGGAGGUAGAGUUGCUCAGACAACUAGGAGGUUGGCUUAGAAGCAGCCAUUCCUUGAAAGAGUGCGUAAUAGCUCACUAGUCAAGCGACUCCGCGCCGAAAAUACACCGGGACUAAAGCAUAUAACCGAAACUGCGUCAUAUAGUUUACUAUAUGGGUAGGGGAGCGUACUGCAGUAGGACGAAGUUAGAUCGAGAGGACUAAUGGACGAGGCAGUAGUGAGAAUGUCGGCAUAAGUAGCGAAAACAUUGGUGAGAAUCCAAUGCACCGAAAACCUAAGGUUUCCCACGGCAGGCUCGUCCGCGUGGGGUUAGUCGGAUCCUAAGGUGAGGCCGAAAGGCGUAGCCGAUGGACAUCAGGUUGAUAUUCCUGAACUAUCAUAUAAUCGUUACAAAAGGCGGAGGGACGCAGGAGGAUAAACACGCAGCCGACUGGACGUGGCUGUAAAGAGUUGUAGGUAGAGUUAGUAGGAAAAUCCGCUAAUUCGAUAUAAACUGAGGGCUCGAGUAGGACAUUCUACGGAAUGGAAGGUGUUGACUCCACACUGCCAAGAAAAGCUUCGCACUUGAGAUUAUGGGAUAUCCGUACCGUAAACCGCCACAGGUAGGUUGGUAGAGAAUACUAAGGUGCGCGAGAUAACUCUCGCUAAGGAACUCGGCAAAAUCACCUCGUAACUUCGGGAGAAGAGGUACCCUGGUAGCGUGAAGCGAUUUACUCGUGAAGCGUGAUAGGGUCGCAGUGAAUAGGCCCAAGCGACUGUUUACCAAAAACACAGGUCUCUGCUAAGUCGAUCAAGACGAAGUAUAGGGGCUGACGCCUGCCCGGUGUCGGAAGGUUACGUGGAAGGGUUAGAAGCAAUUCGAAGCUCUGAAACUAAGCCCCGAUGAACGGCGGCCGUAACUAUAACGGUCCUAAGGUAGCGAAAUUCCUUGUCAGGUAAGUUCUGACCCGCACGAAUGGCGUAAUGAUUUGGGCACUGUCUCGACAGCCCGCCCGGCGAAAUUGUAGUACUGGUGAAGAUGCCAGUUACCCGCAACUAGACGGAAAGACCCCAUGGAGCUUUACUGCAGCUUAAUACUGAGAUUCGGUAAAUCAUGUACAGGAUAGGUGGGAGACUGAGAAGCCAGGCCGUCAGGUUUGGUGGAGUCGCCCUUGGGAUACCACCCUUGGUUUGCUGGGUUUCUAACCUGCGGCCCUGAAUCGGGUCGGGGGACACUGUUAGGCGGGCAGUUUGACUGGGGCGGUCGCCUCCUAAAAUGUAACGGAGGCGCUCAAAGGUUGGCUCAGCAUGGAUGGAAACCAUGCAAUGAGUGUAAACGUAUAAGCCAGCCUGACUGCGAGACCGACGGGUCGAGCAGAGACGAAAGUCGGAGUUAGUGAUCCGGUGGUAUGUGAGUGGAAAUGCCAUCGCUCAACGGAUAAAAGCUACCCUGGGGAUAACAGGCUGAUCUCCCCCAAGCGUCCACAGCGACGGGGAGGUUUGGCACCUCGAUGUCGGCUCGUCACAUCCUGGGGCUGAAUUCGGUCCCAAGGGUUCGGCUGUUCGCCGAUUAAAGUGGCACGCGAGCUGGGUUCAGAACGUCGUGAGACAGUUCGGUCCCUAUCUGUUGCGGGCGUAAGAGAUUUGAAGGGAGCUGUCCUUAGUACGAGAGGACCGGGAUGGACGUACCUCUGGUGCACCAGUUGUCCUGCCAAGGGCAUAGCUGGGUAGCUAUGUACGGACGAGAUAAACGCUGAAAGCAUCUAAGCGUGAAACUCCCCCUAAGAUGAGAUCUCUCAUCCUUUA